Anncaliia algerae PRA109 is the source of this 72-nucleotide non-coding RNA. Lineage: Eukaryota; Fungi; Microsporidia; Tubulinosematidae. The record is from Rfam.
GCCACCUUAGCUUAGUGGUAAAGCGCUAGUCUUGUAAACUAGAGAGCAUGGGUUCGAUCCCCAUAGGUGGCU